RNAcentral lists this long non-coding RNA (1991 nucleotides) under Homo sapiens (human). RNAcentral describes it as "HSALNT0200193". Lineage: Eukaryota; Metazoa; Chordata; Mammalia; Primates; Hominidae. The record is from RNAcentral.
CGGAAAAAAGUAGUCCCCUGCAACUCUCAAAGCUUCUCCCACUCCCGCUUCUCUGGGCGACUGGCACCCCCUCUCCUGUCCUCAAGGUGUCAGACUUCCCUUGCAAGAGCUGGAGGAUGCGGCUUGCCACUAGUGUCAACAAUCAAAACAGUCGCAAUGAAUAAAUGAUGAGCCACAGCGUUCCAACCACCCUCAUCCAGCUUGGUCUUUCCAAAAGGCAUAGGAAAUCAGCAAGUUUCCACCAAAUAUACCAAAACCCUAAGACGCGAGCCAGCCCAAGGGUGCAAGGUUCUGCGGCUGCAGGUGCCUAUGAAACUGCAAUAAAUACAUAACAGAAGAGAACACCAAGGAGAGCACUAUAUAUGUCAACCAUCUGAGCAGGCUGUAUUCCCACGGAAAGAAGAAUUUGUAUUGAUCACUGAGCCUCCUUUUCAACAGUUUCAUGUGAUUAUUGAUUGCUGGUCUCAGGUCUCCUACAAAAUGAUUAGCAAUUACAGGAAAAUUAUUUGAAAUCUGUUUAAACAAUCUGGUGAAUUGCAUAUACUACAGUCAUUAGCAAUCCAAAGAGUUUAUUUUUAACAAUUUAAACAUAUGAGUUUGGCAGCAUUCUACGAACCUGCACUCCACAUAAAAUGCAAUUCAUUGAAGUCAAAGAAAUUUACAAUAAAAUGUUAUAUGCUAUCUAGAAUUUAUUUUAGUACCUUAUUAAACAGAACAAGAAAGCACUCAUGUUUCCAAAUUAGCAAGAGACAAGUGACCCAAGAAAUGAUAGCAGUAAAACAAUUCUCUGUAAUGUCUAUUUAUAGCUAAAGUAUAUUGUAGAAUUGGGAUCACAAUUGUUUUAGGAAUACAAUUUUCACUUUACUCCUAAAGGUUAUUGUUCUGUUUAGGAGCUGACAUGUAACAUGUAUGAAACACUGUUUCAAAGCUGUUAUACCUCAGACAUAGAGACAAAGUCACAGAGACAAGUAUUUGGAGAAUUUAUUCAUGCACAUGUGUCACCAUCAGCAUUUUUAUGUGCCAGUAAUGCAUCUGUGUAUGAUGCCAUCAUGAAGUAUAUGAUAUUGGCCUUUCUGAUGCUAAGAUAAAUUAAGAAAUAGGUUAUCAUUGUCUUUGAUGCCCAUGUGACCUGUCUUCCACCUUUGUGACCAGGCCUUUACCUCCUACUGCACAAGGGCUCACCCAAACUCACUGAAGGGGCUCCACCUCAGCUUAACUUUUGGAUUUGGCUCCUGCUCCAGGUUUUAGAAUCCUCUGUUCUGUCAUCAAUGUAAUGAGGCUUCAAUCUAACCUACAUGGCCAUGCUAUACACACAGCUUUUACCUGCCUAUUUUUUAAAAAAAUUAACAUUUUCUAAGUUAUCAAAAUGUUAUUCAAAAAUGUUAAUUUUAAUGAAUCACUACUUAUUUCUAUGAAAUACUUAAGUAUUUUUCAGGUCUUGAAAGUGUAAUUGUUUUUAUACUAUUAUUCCCUACUGGUAUACUUUUGUUGAAAGCCGUUACACAAGCAUUUUUGUCUGUAUCUCUAAUUAUGUCCUCAGAAUAGAUUCCUAGUAAUACAGCCCUGUGUCAUGAUGCAGAAAUAUUUUAAAGUACAUGCUGUAUGUUAUAAGGGAGCUUGUUGCAUUGAACCCUCAUCAAUACGGGGCAUCCUUAAGGUCCUUUUUCUUCUUUUCUUUUUUUAUUUUGACUGAUUUCCUACUUGAAAGAAAAUGGUAUCUCAAUGAGUUGUGUUAACUAGAAACGGUGACUUUUAUAUUUUGUGUACUUUGCUACUUGUUUCUUUUUGUGAGUUUACAUACUUUUUCAAUACUUACGGGGUUUUGUUGCUAUUCCCCCAUUUGGUUUAUAAUAACUCUUAAUAUUUGAACAUUAGUACAUUCCCAUAUUUAUGGAAGAUAUUUCUCAGUUUUUAAUUCUUUGUUAAAUUUGGAGGUAAUGUUAUUUAUUUUAAAGAUGUUUCAUUCUUACAAACAUUAAACUAUCAAAUUU